RNAcentral lists this ribosomal RNA (465 nucleotides) under uncultured bacterium. RNAcentral describes it as "bacterial SSU rRNA". It matches the Rfam family "Bacterial small subunit ribosomal RNA", at positions 338 to 795 of the family's 1533-position model. The record is from RNAcentral.
CCUACGGGAUGCAGCAGUGGGGAAUAUUGCACAAUGGGCGCAAGCCUGAUGCAGCCAUGCCGCGCGUAUGAAGAAGGCCUUCGGGUUGUAAAGUACUUUCAGCGGGGAGGAAGGUGUUGUGGUUAAUAACCACAGCAAUUGACGUUACCCGCAGAAGAAGCACCGGCUAACUCCGUGCCAGCAGCCGCGGUAAUACGGAGGGUGCAAGCGUUAAUCGGAAUUACUGGGCGUAAAGCGCACGCAGGCGGCCUGUCAAGUCGGAUGUGAAAUCCCCGGGCUCAACCUGGGAACUGCAUUCGAGACUGGCAGGCUAGGGUCUUGUAGAGGGGGGUAGAAUUCCGGGUGUAGCGGUGAAAUGCGUUGAGAUCUGGAGGAAUACCGGUGGCGAAGGCGGCCCCCUGGACAAAGACUGACGCUCAGGUGCGAAAGCGUGGGGAGCAAACAGGAUUAGAUACCCCAGUAGUC